UACGGAGGGGGCUAGCGUUGUUCGGAAUUACUGGGCGUAAAGCGCACGUAGGCGGCUUUGUAAGUUAGAGGUGAAAGCCCGGGGCUCAACCCCGGAAUUGCCUUUAAGACUGCAUCGCUAGAAUUGUGGAGAGGUAAGUGGAAUUCCGAGUGUAGAGGUGAAAUUCGUAGAUAUUCGGAAGAACACCAGUGGCGAAGGCGACUCACUGGACACGUAUUGACGCUGAGGUGCGAAAGCGUGGGGAGCGAACAGG
Molecule: ribosomal RNA, 253 nt
Filed under: uncultured bacterium
Lineage: Bacteria
Description: partial 16S ribosomal RNA
Rfam family: Bacterial small subunit ribosomal RNA
Source: RNAcentral